UACGGAGGGUGCAAGCGUUAUCCGGAUUUACUGGGUUUAAAGGGUGCGCAGGCGGGCCAUUAAGUCCGGGGUGAAAUCCUCCCGCUCAACGGGAGAACUGCCCUGGAAACUAUUGGCCUUGAAUCAAGUUGAGGUAGGCGGAAUAUAACAUGUAGCGGUGAAAUGCAUAGAUAUGUUAUAGAACACCGAUUGCGAAGGCAGCCUACUAAGCUUGCAUUGACGCUGAGGCACGAAAGCGUGGGUAGCGAACAGG
Molecule: ribosomal RNA, 253 nt
Filed under: uncultured bacterium
Lineage: Bacteria
Description: partial 16S ribosomal RNA
Rfam family: Bacterial small subunit ribosomal RNA
Source: RNAcentral